CAUUAAAAAGUUGUGGUAGAAUAUGAUAAGACUUUAUGCAUAGCUUACGGGGAACAGCUCAAAGAAGUUUAAGAAAUAGUAGCUAUGGCGUGAAACUAAAGAGAGAACAACAAAACUUCUUAGAAACCAGUGUCAGAGAUCAUAGAACGAGUGGUGACAUGAUGAGGGGCAACACAAAAAGCUCGGCAGGUUGAAGAUAUCAUCCCGUUAACGAGUCACCGAUCAUUGUCGGGGGUGGAGUCCGACUGAGGCUGAUCUCAAGCGGUAUUAAAUCUGAAAAAGCUACUAGUUUGUUUUUCAAAAAUUGGUUAGAUAUAUUAAAAAGAGACAAAACAAUGUGGUUGAAGUCAAUCUUGGAAACUGGGUGAGGGCGGAAAAAAAAAGAAUACAUGAUUUGAGUAGAUAAUAGAUUUCCAUUUUGGUACAUCUUAAAUGAUGCGAUUAAAUAAAAUCCAGUACGAUAAACUCUAACUAUCUAUCACAUGCCUAAUCCUAAAGGAUACAUGUUAGAACGCUAUAAAGAUCCCAUUAUCCCUUGUUUUGUUUGAAGGAUUUUGCUGUCCGAAAAGUUCUUAUCAUUUAUAAUUUGAAGAAGUAAACAAUGCAUAAUAUGAUGGUGCCUUUUCAUAUUUUAAAAAAAUAUUUAUAUUUCAUUUAUUUCUUAUUAUUAUAUGUUAAAAUUACAUGAAUAAUUUUUAUUUCACAUUAUAGUACGUAUCAUAUAUUUUUGUAAUUAUUUCAGUUAUAAAUAUUUUACUAACACUUUAUACCCAGUUUAGUUAGAUUUCAUUACAUAUUGUUAUAUUUUAUUUUAAGUAUUUAUUUUAAUAUUUUGAAAAUAUUAUUUAUUGGAUAAGUAUUGUAAAAGAUAAGAAGAUUUUCAGUGCUCUAGAGAAUUCUAUUGGAUAAGUAUGCAACAUAUUUUAGUAAACAUAUCCAGACAUUGGAAGAUAAGAAUCUAGAUAUUUGGUAUAAAAUCUAGAGAUUAUGAUAAUAUUCUCCAAAAUAUUUUAUUUUUAUUUUUGGAGCCUAUAAAUAGUUCAUUCCUCUUAUAUUUGUAACAUGCACAAAAAGUUGAACAGGUGAAACAAAAACAGAUUCAAAGAAACAAAUAGUGGUCUCUUAGAUUGAUGCUUUUAAAAAAUGGAGGUUUCGGAUGGUAUAUCCAUGGUAUGUAUGUAGCCCAUUGCUCUCAAUGCUCUAUUCUAUAUGUGGUUUCAACCUUUGCUGUCGAAACCUUGGCGCUGCCGGAAGCUCUUCUUGCAAGAUCGUGUGCUGGACUCUCAAAGCUUCAAGUAUUUUCAGACUCUAAUGUCUUCUUCUCUGCCCUGCAUUCAGGGAUGGAUUUGAAUGGGAUUGCAGGUUGUCUUCUUGACAUCACAAACCUUGCCACUCCCUUCACUCUGUUAUCAUUUAAGUUUUAUCAGUGCACAGCAGUAUGUUUGGCUGUUGCUUUUGCUAUGUAUGUGUUUUUCAGACUAUGUUUCACUUUUACUCUCUUUUGAGUUAUGAAUGAAAGAAACCCUUGACAAAAAAAAAAGAGAGAGAAAAAUUUUGAAAGAAAAGAUCUUGCAUCUACUUUACUUAUAACUUAUAGAUCACUUUUACAUUGCAAAUAAUAAAAGGACAAUUUUU
Long non-coding RNA from Brassica napus (rape), 1635 nucleotides. RefSeq lists it as uncharacterized. NCBI's taxonomy places the organism in Eukaryota, Viridiplantae, Streptophyta, Magnoliopsida, Brassicales, Brassicaceae. The record is from RefSeq and is a predicted model, not a curated record. The transcript is spliced from 2 exons.